Trichomycterus rosablanca is the source of this 586-nucleotide long non-coding RNA. RefSeq lists it as uncharacterized. NCBI's taxonomy places the organism in Eukaryota, Metazoa, Chordata, Actinopteri, Siluriformes, Trichomycteridae. The record is from RefSeq and is a predicted model, not a curated record. The transcript has 3 exons.
CACUCUGUUCUCUCUACCGCUCUGCUCGAACCAUCACAAAGUCGUUUAAGCUCUCGCGGGCCGGAUCAAAUGACGCGGCGGGCCGGAUCUGGCCCGCAGGCCGUGAGUUUGACACCCCUGCUCUAGAAGAUGACCAACUCUAACAGCAGCAAUAGAUGAGCGAUCAUCUCUGACUUUACAUCUAUAAGGUGGACCAACUAGGUAGAGUGUAAAGUGUUCACCAUGCAGAAACACAUGUAGCGGUAGAGCUUCUUCUUCAACAGCGGGUGUGGAAAACUACAGUGCUCAUUACUGCCACCAACUGUAGUGAACCGUGCAGCAUCUCUGUGGAAAGACUAUUAGGAAUGUAACGUCAUGUUUUACACACUUUGGUUACAUUUAUGACAGGACAGAAAACCGGUGCUCCUGAAGGAAACCCACACAGACACGAAGAGAACAUGCAAACGCCACACAGAAAGGACCUGGACCGCUCCACCUGGACCCAGGACCUUGUUGCUGUUAGGCGACGAUGCUACCCACUGAGCCACAAUUAUUUGUUUAUUCAUAAACAAAUAAAUACAUAAAUAAACCCUUCAGUAAAAGAGAA